AUCCGCCAUAGAUGGUGAUAGCCCAGUAGAUUAAAUCAAGCUUUCUCAGUUCAGGAUCCUGAGUACGGCGGAACACGUGAAAUUCCGUCGGAAUCCGGGAGGACCAUCUCCCAAGGCUAAAUACUACCUAGUGACCGAUAGUGAACCAGUACCGUGAGGGAAAGGUGAAAAGCACCCCGGAAGGGGAGUGAAAUAGUUCCUGAAACCAUGUGCCUACAAUAAGUCAGAGCGCGUUAAUGCGUGAUGGCGUGCCUUUUGUAGAAUGAACCGGCGAGUUACGAUCCCGUGCAAGGUUAAGACUUAAAAGUCGGAGCCGUAGCGAAAGCGAGUCUGAAAUGGGCGAUUUUAGUACGAGGUUGUAGACCCGAAACCAGGUGACCUAUCCAUGUCCAGGUUGAAGAUGCGGUAAAACGCAUUGGAGGACCGAACCCGUGUAAGUUGAAAAUUGCUGGGAUGAGGUGUGGAUAGCGGUGAAAUUCCAAACGAACUUGGAGAUAGCUGGUUCUCUCCGAAAUAGCUUUAGGGCUAGCCUUGGAUUAAAGGAUCAUGGAGGUAGAGCACUAUUUGGACUAGGGGCCCGUCUUGGGUUACUGAAUUCAGAUAAACUCCGAAUGCCAUUGAUUUAUAUCCGGGAGUCAGACGAUGAGUGAUAAGAUCCACCGUCGAAAGGGGAACAGCCCAGACCGUCAGUUAAGGUCCCUAAAUGUAUACUAAGUGGAAAAGGAUGUGGAGUUGCAUAGACAACUAGGAUGUUGGCUCAGAAGCAGCCACCAUUUAAAGAGUGCGUAAUAGCUCACUAGUCGAGUGAUUCUGCGCCGAAAAUGUACCGGGGCUAAGUAUACUACCGAAACUACGGAUGUGACCAUUAGGUCACGUGAUAGGAGAGCGUUCUAAGGGCAAUGAAGCAAGAUCGCAAGGACUUGUGGAGCGCUUAGAAGUGAGAAUGCCGGUAUGAGUAGCGAAAGAUGGGUGAGAAUCCCAUCCACCGAAUGACUAAGGUUUCCUGGGGAAGGCUCGUCCUCCCAGGGUUAGUCGGGACCUAAGUCGAGGCCGAGAGGCGUAGACGAUGGAUAACAGGUUGAUAUUCCUGUACCAGUUAAAUGCGUUUGAAUGAUGGAGGGACGCAGGAGGCUAAGAUGUGCAUUCUGUUGGAUUAGAAUGUUCAAGCAGUAAGUCUUUUGAUGAGUCAAAUGCUUAUCAAUUUAAGGACAAGCUGUGAUGAGGAGCGAAAUUUAAGUAGCGAAGCGUCUGAUGUCACACUGCCGAGAAAAGCUUCUAGUGAGUAUUUAACUGCCCGUACCGCAAACCAACACAGGUAGUUGAGGAGAGAAUCCUAAGGUGAGCGAGUGAACUCUCGUUAAGGAACUCGGCAAAAUGACCCCGUAACUUCGGGAGAAGGGGUGCUGAUCGCAAGAUCAGCCGCAGUGAAUAGGCCCAGGCGACUGUUUAUCAAAAACACAGGUCUCUGCAAAAUCGUAAGAUGACGUAUAGGGGCUGACGCCUGCCCGGUGCUGGAAGGUUAAAAGGAUGGGUUAGCUUCGGCGAAGCUCAGAAUUGAAGCCCCAGUAAACGGCGGCCGUAACUAUAACGGUCCUAAGGUAGCGAAAUUCCUUGUCGGGUAAGUUCCGACCCGCACGAAAGGCGUAACGAUCUGGGCACUGUCUCAACGAGAGACUCGGUGAAAUUAUAUUGUCCGUGAAGAUGCGGACUACCCGCGACAGGACGGAAAGACCCCAUGGAGCUUUACUGUAGCUUGAUAUUGAGUGUUUGUACAGCUUGUACAGGAUAGGUAGGAGCCAUAGAUACCGGAACGCUAGUUUCGGUGGAGGCGUUGGUGGGAUACUACCCUCGCUGUAUGACCACUCUAACCCGCACCACUAAUCGUGGUGGGAGACAGUGUCAGGUGGGCAGUUUGACUGGGGCGGUCGCCUCCUAAAAA
RNAcentral lists this ribosomal RNA (1939 nucleotides) under Lactiplantibacillus mudanjiangensis. RNAcentral's name for it is "Lactobacillus mudanjiangensis 23S ribosomal RNA (partial)". It matches the Rfam family "Bacterial large subunit ribosomal RNA", at positions 350 to 2296 of the family's 2925-position model. Lineage: Bacteria; Bacillati; Bacillota; Bacilli; Lactobacillales; Lactobacillaceae. The record is from RNAcentral.